CAGCCGCCGCGGUAAAACGGAGGGUGCGAGCGUUAAUCGGAUUUACUGGGCGUAAAGCGUGCGUAGGCGGCUUUUUAAGUCGGAUGUGAAAUCCCUGAGCUUAACUUAGGAAUUGCAUUCGAUACUGGGAAGCUAGAGUAUGGGAGAGGAUGGUAGAAUUCCAGGUGUAGCGGUGAAAUGCGUAGAGAUCUGGAGGAAUACCGAUGGCGAAGGCAGCCAUCUGGCCUAAUACUGACGCUGAGGUACGAAAGCAUGGGGAGCAAACAGGAUUAGAUACCCGUGUAGUCCCUGUCUCUUAUAC
Molecule: ribosomal RNA, 301 nt
Filed under: uncultured bacterium
Lineage: Bacteria
Description: partial 16S ribosomal RNA
Rfam family: Bacterial small subunit ribosomal RNA
Source: RNAcentral